RNAcentral lists this ribosomal RNA (355 nucleotides) under uncultured bacterium. RNAcentral's name for it is "bacterial SSU rRNA". It matches the Rfam family "Bacterial small subunit ribosomal RNA", at positions 8 to 350 of the family's 1533-position model. The record is from RNAcentral.
AGAGUUUGAUCCUGGCUCAGGAUGAACGCUAGCUACAGGCUUAACACAUGCAAGUCGAGGGGAAACGAUAUUGGAAGCUUGCUUCCGAUAGGCGUCGACCGGCGCACGGGUGAGUAACGCGUAUCCAACCUGCCCACCACUUGGGGAUAACCUUGCGAAAGUAAGACUAAUACCCAAUGAUAUCUCUAGAAGACAUCUGAAAGAGAUUAAAGAUUUAUCGGUGAUGGAUGGGGAUGCGUCUGAUUAGCUUGUUGGCGGGGUAACGGCCACCAAGGCGACGAUCAGUAGGGGUUCUGAGAGGAAGGUCCCCCACAUUGGAACUGAGACACGGUCCGAAACUACCUACCGGGAGGCA